RNAcentral lists this ribosomal RNA (483 nucleotides) under uncultured bacterium. RNAcentral's name for it is "partial 16S ribosomal RNA". It matches the Rfam family "Bacterial small subunit ribosomal RNA", at positions 28 to 507 of the family's 1533-position model. The record is from RNAcentral.
GACGAACGCUGGCGGCGUGCUUAACACAUGCAAGUCGAACGCUGAAGCUCAGCUUUUGUUGGGUGGAUGAGUGGCGAACGGGUGAGUAACACGUGAGUAACCUGCCCCCUUCUUUGGGAUAACGCCCGGAAACGGGUGCUAAUACUGGAUAUUCACUGGUCUUCGCAUGGGGGUUGGUGGAAAGGGUUUUUCUGGUGGGGGAUGGGCUCGCGGCCUAUCAGCUUGUUGGUGGGGUGAUGGCCUACCAGGGCUUUGACGGGUAGCCGGCCUGAGAGGGUGACCGGUCACAUUGGGACUGAGAUACGGCCCAGACUCCUACGGGAGGCAGCAGUGGGGAAUAUUGCACAAUGGGCGCAAGCCUGAUGCAGCGACGCCGCGUGAGGGAUGGAGGCCUUCGGGUUGUGAACCUCUUUCGCUCAUGGUCAAGCCGCAACAAUGGUUGUGGUGAGGGUAGUGGGUAAAGAAGCGCCGGCUAACUACGUG